RNAcentral lists this non-coding RNA (19 nucleotides) under Rattus norvegicus (Norway rat). The record is from RNAcentral. Lineage: Eukaryota; Metazoa; Chordata; Mammalia; Rodentia; Muridae.
GAAUGCUGAUGGAUGCUCA